Molecule: ribosomal RNA, 433 nt
Filed under: uncultured bacterium
Lineage: Bacteria
Description: partial 16S ribosomal RNA
Rfam family: Bacterial small subunit ribosomal RNA
Source: RNAcentral
AACGAACGCUGGCGGCAUGCCUAACACAUGCAAGUCGAACGAGACCUUCGGGUCUAGUGGCGCACGGGUGCGUAACGCGUGGGAACCUGCCCUUAGGUUCGGAAUAACUCCCCGAAAGGGGUGCUAAUACCGGAUAAUGUCUUCGGACCAAAGAUUUAUCGCCUUAGGAUGGGCCCGCGUUGGAUUAGCUAGUUGGUAGGGUAAAAGCCUACCAAGGCGACGAUCCAUAGCUGGUCUGAGGGGAUGAUCAGCCACACUGGGACUGAGACACGGCCCAGACUCCUACGGGAGGCAGCAGUGGGGAAUAUUGGACAAUGGGCGAAAGCCUGAUCCAGCAAUGCCGCGUGAGUGAUGAAGGCCUUAGGGUUGUAAAGCUCUUUUACCCGGGAUGAUAAUGACAGUACCGGGAGAAUAAGCUCCGGCUAACUCCGUG